UCCUGAGAAAGCUCUAUAUGUACAUUAGUUACGUAUGUACUAUAUAUUGGAGAAAUAAUGAUUUAAAAUAUAGCUUAUCUCAACUCAAAAUAUAUUUUAAUAAAAAAUGAAUCAUAUAUCAGCAAUAUAGCUCAGGUAUGUAUCAAGGAAUGGUUAGGUUGGCAUUGGAUCAGAUCUUCUCUUGAUAGAGCUCAAUUGUCAAGCUGCCAUUUCGAUCCCACAUUCCACAUGUCAAUGCCAA
Molecule: long non-coding RNA, 241 nt
Filed under: Elaeis guineensis (African oil palm)
Lineage: Eukaryota; Viridiplantae; Streptophyta; Magnoliopsida; Arecales; Arecaceae
Description: long non-coding RNA (EGUI_LNC016355)
Source: RNAcentral